GGUCCCGUAGUGUAGCGGUUAACAUGCCUGCCUGUCACGCAGGAGAUCGCCGGUUCGAUUCCUAUCGGGAACGCCA
This 76-nucleotide transfer RNA is filed under the name Bacillus sp. 7894-2. RNAcentral describes it as "tRNA-Asp". It matches the Rfam family "tRNA". From Rfam's summary of the family: Transfer RNA (tRNA) molecules are approximately 80 nucleotides in length. The record is from RNAcentral. Lineage: Bacteria; Bacillati; Bacillota; Bacilli; Caryophanales; Bacillaceae.